Molecule: transfer RNA, 75 nt
Filed under: bacterium
Lineage: Bacteria
Also listed under: 2 other names
Description: tRNA-Pro
Rfam family: tRNA
About the family: Transfer RNA (tRNA) molecules are approximately 80 nucleotides in length. Their secondary structure includes four short double-helical elements and three loops (D, anti-codon, and T loops). Further hydrogen bonds mediate the characteristic L-shaped molecular structure. tRNAs have two regions of fundamental functional importance: the anti-codon, which is responsible for specific mRNA codon recognition, and the 3' end, to which the tRNAs corresponding amino acid is attached (by aminoacyl-tRNA synthetases). tRNAs cope with the degeneracy of the genetic code in two manners: having more than one tRNA (with a specific anti-codon) for a particular amino acid; and 'wobble' base-pairing, i.e. permitting non-standard base-pairing at the 3rd anti-codon position.
Source: RNAcentral
CGGGGCGUAGCGCAGAUUGGUUAGCGCACUAGCAUGGGGGGCUAGGGGUCGGUGGUUCGAAUCCACUCGCCCCGA